Molecule: long non-coding RNA, 1820 nt
Filed under: Triticum aestivum (bread wheat)
Lineage: Eukaryota; Viridiplantae; Streptophyta; Magnoliopsida; Poales; Poaceae
Description: long non-coding RNA (TAES_LNC013947)
Source: RNAcentral
UGCCGUCACUCGACCGACACUGCAUCUUUCUCCGAUGGCCACCGAUUUCCAUCCAGGUACCGGCCCUUCCUGAUCCAGUUGCUGUUUUUUGUACCCCUUUAUGAUCUAUUUCCUUUUCCUGAAAACUUUCAUAUGUGCCUCCAUUUGGAUUCACCAGAAACUAACGAGCAUUUUCUCCUCCCUCAUUUGCUGGGUACUGGUGGAAGCAAAUGGCUGUACUGAAACACUGGUUUUGAAUAGGCCAGUGUAGUUGAUGCCUCUCCUCUGCAGCCGUAUGUCUUCAAGGGAUUGUACUAGUACUACAGGCACAACUCCCUUUAUAAAGGUUGUGUUAGAUAAUUUGAUUAUAUCUUCCAAGUUACAGGACUCAAAAAAUCACUUCUUAAGAGGAAGAAAACAGAGUUGAACUGGUCAUUGUCAAGGUAAUGGAUAAUACUGUAUGCUUGUAGUCAUUUAAUAAUUAAUAUUUCACCAAUUUCUCAAAUAUAGCUUAUGCACAUCUUGUUUUCUGGUCUUGUAAUUUGCGGGUACUAUUCCCUUCCAUAUUGUGUUGUUGUAUGCACAUGAACCUAGUAGAAACUAAAUAUUGGUCGGCACCUAUUUGAGGUCUGAUUUUUCUAGUUUGCAGUUCAUCUUGAUUAGGAGAAAAUGCAAGAUUCGUGAUCUACAAGAGAUGCUAGAGCCUUUGCUCUAAUUAAGGUAUUUUUACUUUUGUUCUCACCCACCUCUCCAAUGUUUUAUCAUGAAUAAACGCCAGUCAAGUUGUCUCGUAUAUUAAAACAUACCUAUGUGCCCAAGAUCAUGAGAUCAGCAUUAUUGAGCGAUUAGUGGCCAUGUUGGUUUAGUCUAAACACAACCGCUUCCUAUUUCAUUGGUGUCUUUUAUUGUAUCACUAUGCAGUAUGCCAGUACCAUCAAAAUGUGUUCUUGAGUAUAGUUUGUCCAUGCCAUCCGAUUUCACGCUUUAUUAUGUAUGACUUAGGAAGUAUUGAGCAGCUACAUGGCAGGUUACAAGGAAGAUUACCAGUACAACAAGGAGGCUGCAACAACAAGUUCAGGUUAUCAAUCAAGGCAAGAAAUUCUACAUAUUCUUCUGAACAAACAGGUACCGUUCCCUGCUGUUACAUUAUCAAAUAUUUGCAUACUGCUUUGGUUUUAUUCUAUUAUUGAGAUGAUGACGACUUUGCCCAUUUUUCUUCAAAAUCUGAAAUGGAUAGACUUAACUCCCUAAUAACUUAUCUACUCAGGCGGUUAGCUGAUAGUUCUUUCAAACUAAUCCAGAAGCAUGUGAUCAGGUUGUCAUUUGAAUGGAUUUUCUUAGUUGCGUGGUUUGUAUCAGGUCUAAGAUAUGAUGCUAUUACUCCAUUAUUUUGUCUGUAGCUGUAAAAUUGGGUAAUUUUGCUGUGAUAAAAACAAGUACGGUAUAUAUUCCAUUGUUAUUUGAAAAAGUGAUACACCAAAUAUAUUAUGCUUAUUAUAUCCUAUAGAUAUUGUUCCUCUUUCUUGUUACCUUUUUGGAGGAAACUGUUGACACUUCCAUAUUUUUUCAAGUUCAAUUAUGUCCACUGCAGGGUAACCUUGAAGAGAAGCUUGCAACAAAAUAUUAUAGAAAAUGAGGUCUCACAUUGCGAAUAUUUAGUUGAUGCACUUGUGUUGUUAAAUGUUGCACCUCUAUUUUUGUUGACUAUUCAUGUAUGUAAAUUCUAUGGAAUUAUAUCUCAAGAGAUGUGAAUAUGUAACUCUAUGGUUGGUGUAAGAUAUUGCUGUUUCUAUGUUGUAAAUAUUCUCAGUACUGGAAUAGCUAUGUGUAAAUCUUUUUUU